GGACGGCGUGGAGGUCGGGCUGGUGUGAGACGCGUUUUCCGGCCAGCUGGUAUAUUUUGGGUGGCGGCUGUUCGGCGUCUGGUUACCAGUGGAGGUGAUGCUCUGCUUGGAGUUCCGACAGCGGCUUGGCUUAGGUUCCUAGGAAUCAGCUUGUGUCUUGUUUGUUGAAAAGAAGGUGAAGUCCAGUAGCUACGGUCUUUUCCUAGUAGUCUAUGUUUUC
RNAcentral lists this long non-coding RNA (220 nucleotides) under Nicotiana benthamiana. RNAcentral describes it as "long non-coding RNA (NBEN_LNC013585)". The record is from RNAcentral. Lineage: Eukaryota; Viridiplantae; Streptophyta; Magnoliopsida; Solanales; Solanaceae.